This 451-nucleotide ribosomal RNA is filed under the name uncultured bacterium. RNAcentral describes it as "bacterial SSU rRNA". It matches the Rfam family "Bacterial small subunit ribosomal RNA", at positions 28 to 477 of the family's 1533-position model. The record is from RNAcentral.
GAUGAACGCUGGCGGCGUGCUUAACACAUGCAAGUCGAACGAAGCACUUUAUUUGAUUUCCUUCGGGAUUGAUUAUUUUGUGACUGAGUGGCGGACGGGUGAGUAACGCGUGGGUAACCUGCCUUGUACAGGGGGAUAACAGUUGGAAACGGCUGCUAAUACCGCAUAAGCGCACGGCAUCGCAUGAUGCAGUGUGAAAAACUCCGGUGGUAUAAGAUGGACCCGCGUUGGAUUAGCUAGUUGGUGAGGUAGCGGCCCACCAAGGCGACGAUCCAUAGCCGACCUGAGAGGGUGACCGGCCACAUUGGGACUGAGACACGGCCCAAACUCCUACGGGAGGCAGCAGUGGGGAAUAUUGCACAAUGGGCGAAAGCCUGAUGCAGCGACGCCGCGUGAGCGAAGAAGUAUUUCGGUAUGUAAAGCUCUAUCAGCAGGGAAGAUAAUGACGGUA